This 136-nucleotide ribosomal RNA is filed under the name uncultured bacterium. RNAcentral's name for it is "partial 16S ribosomal RNA". The record is from RNAcentral.
GCACGUAGUUAGCCGGGGCUUAUUCUGCGGGUACCGUCAUCAUCGUCCCCGCCAAAAGAGCUUUACAACCCGAAGGCCUUCAUCACUCACGCGGCAUGGCUGGAUCAGGCUUGCGCCCAUUGUCCAAUAUUCCCCA